CAUGGUCUAGCCAGUCUAUUCAAGCAAAAUGAUUUUUAGUCUGAACCCCCGAAACUAGGUGAGCUACUUCGAAACAGUCUCAAGGACUAACCCGUCUCUGUCGCAAAAGAGUGGGAUGAUUUCCAAGUAGAGGCGACAAACCAACCGCACCUGGAAAUAGCUGGUUACUCAAGAAAAGAAUAUAAGUUCAACCUUAAGUUUUUUAAUUACACGAAAAGCCCAUUAAACUUAAGAGCUACUCAAAUAAGGCACAGCUUAUUUGAAAUAGGAUACAACCUACAACACAGGGUAAAACUCAUGAACAAGUAACUAGUGGGCCUAAGAGCAGCCACCUUCAAAAAGCGUUAAAGCUUAAUACUUACUCUAAAUAAAUACCUUCACCUUCCCUGAACCCUUCACCAAUAUUGAGUAACUCCAUAAAAUUAUGGAAGUUAUAAUGCUAGAACUAGUAACAAGAAACAGACUUUCUCCAAAAUGCAAGCCUAAGCCACAAUAGACAAUCUAUUGGCAAUUAACGCAAAUGAAAGUAUUAUAGUAACUCUAACAAGAAAAACCUAUACCCUCAUGCGUCACCCUUACACCAGAGCAUUAAUGGAAAGAUUAAAAGAAAAAGAAGGAACUCGGCAAACCCGUGCCCCGCCUGUUUAC
RNAcentral lists this ribosomal RNA (648 nucleotides) under Mantidactylus guttulatus. Its description in RNAcentral is "partial 16S ribosomal RNA". The stretch from base 1 to 444 matches the Rfam family "Bacterial large subunit ribosomal RNA", at positions 614 to 1301 of the family's 2925-position model. Lineage: Eukaryota; Metazoa; Chordata; Amphibia; Anura; Mantellidae. The record is from RNAcentral.